Molecule: long non-coding RNA, 354 nt
Organism: Fukomys damarensis (Damara mole-rat)
Lineage: Eukaryota; Metazoa; Chordata; Mammalia; Rodentia; Bathyergidae
Exons: 3
Source: RefSeq, a predicted model, not a curated record
GGUACUGGGGAUUGAACUCGGGACCUUUCACUUUUGAGACAGACGGCCACACUACUGAGUAUGCUGAGAAAGCCAUGUUUUGAGGAGCACUGAAAAAUACCUUGAAUGUCUGAUCAUGCAUAAGUGGUGCAUUACAAGCAGGCUACAUGGACAAGAAAUGCUCAUUUAAGGACAGCUCUAUUGCUGGACAUGAGAGAUUGGAGCCAAUGGUUCUACAGGAAAUGGAGUCACUACAAAUCCAGGAUGGAAUUUGGGGUUUGGAGUUAGGGCGAUGCUCCAGAAGAAAAUGACUUGACUGUAUUUGGAUACAUGUAAAUCUUUGUAUGUGAAUAAAUGUAGGUUUUUUUGUACGUG